UGAACCAAAGUCUCUUCUUGCUAAGUCCAGAUUUCUUUUUUCCUUGACAGCCCCUAAGUCCUGGGGGCACUGGGUAGACACCUGAGGACCUCAGUAAACAAGAAGGCUGGAUGCAGAUUUUCUCCUUGACACUAUGGCCAAGUAAAGCUGAGUCACUGCUCUCCCAUGCUGAUGAUGCUCUCCUGUGAAUCUUCUCUCUCUUAAGGACCCCAGGAAUCAUGAAGGCAGGGAGAAAAUUUCAAUAAUUUGCUGGCGGCAGUACAAUUGGUGGGAGUGGACUAUUUUCAGCUGCUAUAUACAUGUGAGCCGUGAGUUGGGAGUUUUUGCAGAAUCAGCUUGGAUGAAUUUUUUCUUUUUUCUCAACUCCUUUGGCAUUUAAAAUCUGUACUGCCCAAAUUGGGGCUUGAUUGUACAUUCUCUCAUAUUGUUUCAUGGAAUUAAUCUUACUCCUCAACUA
Molecule: long non-coding RNA, 457 nt
Filed under: Rhinopithecus bieti (black snub-nosed monkey)
Lineage: Eukaryota; Metazoa; Chordata; Mammalia; Primates; Cercopithecidae
Description: lncRNA (ENSRBIG00000045193.1)
Source: RNAcentral